CCCGUGCGCCAUGCCUUGAGCUUGGCCACGCUACAUAAAGAGACUGGCAGGAGAGGAGUGCUGUGUGCAUCCCUCCUGCUAGUCACCCGGACAUUUGAGCCCCCCAGACGCUUUAUGGUAGCGCCGGCCCUGUCUCUAUCCAUUCCUCUCUAAGUUAUGCAGGUCUGUCAUCAUUUACACAUGUCCAUGUACCUUUUCUUAUUAGCAGAAUCUACAUCUUAAAUAUCCGGUUCUGGUUUGUCAGAUUUGCAAAUGAAAGUUUUGUUGAAGCUGUGUUACUUGGCAUUUUUAUGUUUGACCUGUUGCAGUAUUUAUCUGUUGUUGUAUCUGGCAUUUAUUUACUGUAGCAGGCCUUAACUGGGCCUAUAAUCUGUUGGAUAUUCUGAAAAACUCUGCAGAAAUAAAGCGUGUACAGUCUUAUCUCCUCAAAAACAUGGUUGCAG
Molecule: non-coding RNA, 443 nt
Organism: Pelobates cultripes (western spadefoot toad)
Lineage: Eukaryota; Metazoa; Chordata; Amphibia; Anura; Pelobatidae
Source: the annotation of a GenBank genome assembly